This 73-nucleotide transfer RNA is filed under the name Candidatus Woesebacteria bacterium. Its description in RNAcentral is "tRNA-Arg". It matches the Rfam family "tRNA". From Rfam's summary of the family: Transfer RNA (tRNA) molecules are approximately 80 nucleotides in length. Their secondary structure includes four short double-helical elements and three loops (D, anti-codon, and T loops). Lineage: Bacteria; Candidatus Woeseibacteriota. RNAcentral also lists the same sequence under 1 other name. The record is from RNAcentral.
GCCCCCAUAGCUCAAUGGAUUAGAGUAAUGGUCUUCGGAACCAGUGAUGGAGGUUCGAAUCCCCCUGGGGGCA